Molecule: long non-coding RNA, 1307 nt
Organism: Mytilus californianus (California mussel)
Lineage: Eukaryota; Metazoa; Mollusca; Bivalvia; Mytilida; Mytilidae
Exons: 3
Source: RefSeq, a predicted model, not a curated record
AUGUAGUACAGCUUGAUUUUAUCAUUUAUGUUAAUAAAUAGUAUUUGUAUAUAUUUGUUCAUGCAUUGACUUGUUGACUGACUCUGACAGAGUAUACAGUAUGACAGUACUUUGAUUUUCUAUUCACUUGGGUAUUUACAUCCUGGGUAUUCUAUUUCUUUAUUCUGAUUGGUUACUCUGUGAACUCCUUUGAUAUUGAGGCACUCUUUUCAAAUUCUACACAGAGAUAUAGAACACUGACACUUUAUUGUGAUUUAUAGAUACUUAUUCUUCUUAUUCUGGAAACCAUUCUUUAUAUUCAGGUCAGUUAUAUUCUUUACAUUAGUAUUUGAUGCAUGUAUUUCUGUAUUUUUAUCUUGGUAUAAAAGAUAUGAAUGUGUUAUGAAAAUGUGUAUGAAAGUCCACUUUGAUUUCCAUGAGUAUGAAAGAGUUCAUAUUUUUACUUUAAGUUGGUAUUUGCAAGACAGAAAGAAUAUUACAGUUAUUAUAUUAUUUUUCAUAUUUGGCUGUUAUUAGAUUUCAGCAUAGAAUAUUGUCUUGGAUUGAGUUUAACUAUAUUAUUUACUAGUUUUGACAUUUAGACUUAUGAAGUCAUAUUUCUUUAUAUUCAGAUUCCAGUAUGUGAAGUAUAAGAGUAUACAGUAACUUUAUAGAGGAGCACUGCUCAGCCCUUGUAUUAUAUACACGGUAAGCUGUGUUCUGUGUUUACAUGUUUAUUUAUUUACGUGCUGUCUAUUUGUACUUAUGUGUUUUAAUUAAUGUGUGUCUUGUCUGUGUUUGUAAUGUGUUAUUGUUUAGUUUACGAAUAUCUCCGAAUAGAAUAGUGUAUCAGAAUUGAUUACUUUAGAUAAUGAUCGUUGACACAAGGUGUUAUUGAUAUCUGUAGAAUUGCAUAUUGAACAGUUACCGGAAAUAGACUUUGGUAUAGAUGCUUAUGAUUUGUAGUUAAACAUACUUUAUUAAAUAUGGUAUAUUUCGAACUGAAGUUAACUACUUGGAUAAUUUAUAUUUUAUUUUAUUAAUAUGGAGAUUAUAAUUAGAGUUAUCGUUCUUUGAACGUAUGUAUUGUGUCUUAUUGUGUGUUUUAUAUGUUACAGGGUGUUUAUUUGAGAUUACUAUAAUAAACCAAUAGAACCUUACUCAGAUGUUAUUUACGCCCAACUUGAUGAGUCUACAAAUGGCGCCCAACAUUCCAGUAUGUGAAGUAUAAGAGUAUACAGUAACUUUAUAGAGGAGCACUGCUCAGCCCUUGUAUUAUAUACACGGGUGUUUAUUUGAGAUUACUAUAAUAAACCAAUAGAACCUUA